This 253-nucleotide ribosomal RNA is filed under the name uncultured bacterium. RNAcentral's name for it is "partial 16S ribosomal RNA". It matches the Rfam family "Bacterial small subunit ribosomal RNA", at positions 524 to 776 of the family's 1533-position model. The record is from RNAcentral.
UACGUAGGGUCCGAGCGUUGUCCGGAAUUAUUGGGCGUAAAGGGCUCGUAGGCGGUUUGUCGCGUCGGGAGUGAAAACACCGGGCUUAACUCGGUGCUUGCUUUCGAUACGGGCGGACUGGAGGUAUGCAGGGGAGAACGGAAUUCCUGGUGUAGCGGUGAAAUGCGCAGAUAUCAGGAGGAACACCGGUGGCGAAGGCGGUUCUCUGGGCAUUACCUGACGCUCAGGUGCGAAAGCUAGGGGAGCGAACAGG